CUAGCCUCAUAAUUAUUAUUUUUUCCCAUUAAUCAAAACUUUUCAGAGGAGACAGUGAUUUUUACUAUUCAUUCAACCAGUUUGCACAGAAAGACAGAGGCCAGAAGCCUGAAUGAAAUGGGAUCUUGCUAUAUGGCCCAGGCUGCUCUCUAACUUCUGGCCUCAAGCAGUUCUCCUGCUUCAGCCUCCCGAGGUGCUGGAAUUACAGGCAUAAGACACUGUGCCUGACUUAAAAGAUAUAGCUCUCAGACAUUACUAAAACUGAAAAGACAUUGCCAUUGGUGAUGAUCAGUUAACAUUACAUGAGCAUCUGAGGAAGAGACAGAGGACUUAUACAGGAGGAAGCUGAUGAUUAGCUCCUUGUUCAAGAGCUGGCCUCUGACAGAGGAGUGGGAUUGGUACAUGUGGAGAAGCACUAGUGUGCUCCAGAUAGAAAUAAUGAUGUCAACAAUGGAGAUGGAUGUGUUUGGGGCAUGUGCCAUGACAAUGGAGACUGGUGAUUGACUGUGGUGUAUGGUCUGAAAAGAAGGAAGAGAGAAAACACAACUGGAUCUGUGAGGGGAGGGCUAGGGAAUUAAUCACUUGGAUACUGGACAGUAAUUGAAGAUGUGACAAGACACAGCAGGGCUCCAGGCUGCAGAGAGAGACAAGUGAUUAGAAUGCAGCCAGGGAAGGUGAGAAUUAAUGUGAGUCAAGCCUUAGGCAUCAACGGUGAGGAUGUGGAGGAAUGAGGGUCUGCAGUUCCGACUGUGGCUGGGGUCCGAGGCAUUGAGAAGAAAUAGUGUGUGAUGUGAGUUCCUGUGCAACAUGUGUGAUCUGCUGAGGUCUCACCUGGAAUUCAAGGCAGCCCUUAUCCCAUCUACAUCAGGAUUCAGCUACACUUGCUGAAGUGACCCGUGUGCAACCCUGAAAUUCUGGAGUAAACAGUCAUAAAUUACGAUUUGUCCUUUUCUUCAACUCCCAACAUCAGGAAGCACCCUGCAUCAUUGCAAUAAGAAGUGUAGAAUGACUAAGAAAAAUAAAUCUGGCAGACCCCAGGGUGCUAGCAAGGUGGUUCCUGGAUGGGGCCUGAGAGGAGAGGGGAGAAACCUUUGAAGUCAAAUGAAAUAAUGUACUUG
RNAcentral lists this long non-coding RNA (1118 nucleotides) under Homo sapiens (human). RNAcentral's name for it is "HSALNT0340680". Lineage: Eukaryota; Metazoa; Chordata; Mammalia; Primates; Hominidae. The record is from RNAcentral.